This 1235-nucleotide long non-coding RNA is filed under the name Cavia porcellus (domestic guinea pig). RNAcentral describes it as "lncRNA (ENSCPOG00000032547.1)". Lineage: Eukaryota; Metazoa; Chordata; Mammalia; Rodentia; Caviidae. The record is from RNAcentral.
UGGAGAAGGAGCUCGGCGGAACGGCUCUGGAAGCCCCGGUAGCGGGGCUCACAUCUUUGCAAGGCCUCCUGAGUGCUGGGAUUACAGGCAUGUGCCACCAUGCCCAGCAUCUGUGACCAGCCCCGAGACACAGAAGCAACUGGACCUGAGACAGGAACUGCCACCUGGGCUAUUGAAGUAGACUGGCUGGGUGGGUCUUAUCUGCCACAAUAUGAAAUCAUCACUGCCGUCAAGAGGCCUGAGCAGAUGAAAAAGGGGAAAUGAAGCAUUUAAAUAUAAAGAAUCCCAACAUCUGGCGUCCAAACAGGGACUCAACAGCAGAGACGUCUGCUGUGGAGUGUGACUUGCCUUCGCUGUGUUCCCGGGGUAGGACAUGGCCCCCACGAUGUGUCGACUUCAUUUGCUUUGAAAAAUCCCCGGGUAAGUCAUGGAAAAUUCCUUGUCUAAAGCACAACAAAAGCAUAAGGCAAAACUGCUUUUUUUCCUUAAGAAGGUGGGCCAUGUGUUCCCUGAGCAUAACUUAGUACAAGUUUUGCAAAAAAUUCAUGAUUGCUGAUUCCCUUUCUCUAUGACAGGCCCUUCAGGCACAGCUCACACACGCACCACAGUGACGGUGGAUCCAGUGCCCGCUCUUCCCACUCAUCUUUCACCCAGCCCCUCUGCCCACAGCGGCUCUUGGUGCCAUCCAGAGCGACAAGAUACUUAUUAUCAAACGGUUACAUUUUCCCCGCUCGCCUGGUGGUACUGUAUUUCCCAUUAUCAAUGCUAAUUCAUGUCUUAUCUCUCCAGGAUGUACUCACAUACACACAUUCCCUCGAAUUUAUCGCACUAAAACUGUUUUACCACUUAGCAAAACUGACUUCUCCCUUUUGCUGUCCCCUACUGUUUCUCUUUAAGUCUCUUUGGCUAUGUUGGUUCCAUUUCUUUCAAAACGCCCCCAGUCCCAGGCUGGCAGGGCCCGGGCGCCCCUGCUGACCUGGGGAGGAGGAGAUGCUUCUGUGUUAUCCCCACAGGGUUCCUGCUUGUUGCAUUCACCAUGCACAAAACAAGUUGACACCACGGGCUACACAACGCAGUUCCACAGUUUCGCCUCUCCCUAAACCAAGCCUGGCCUCCUUAAAAGCGACCCAAGACAACUGCUUGCCAGUGACGUGGGUGACAUAGAUACAUCUAAAGAAAAAUCCACUGCUCAUCAGCUUCUUGAGGCGGUAUUUACCAAAUUGACAAUAAACUCU